CUUAGAUUGAAAUGCAGAACUCAAGCCUCUUUCAUCGGGGCACAGACUUCCUUUUACUUCUUCCUUUUGCCCUCUCGCCUCCUCCUCCUGGGAAGAAGCGGAGGCGCCGGCGGUCGGCCGGGAUAGCAACAGGCCGGGCCACUGAGGCGGUGCGGAAAGUUUCUGUCUGGGAGUGCGGAACUGGGGCCGGGUUGGUGUACUGCUCGGAGCAAUGGGCACCAAAUGGUCUCCCAGCUGUGGGCAGUUUUGUGUCAGCAUCCAGCAUGGCUCCUUACCCUACCCCAGCCCAAGUGUCGCCUUACAUGACCUACAGUGCUGCUCCUUCUGGUUAUGUUGCUGGACAUGGGUGGCAACAUGCUGGGGGCACCUCAUUGUCUCCCCACAACUGUGACAUUCCGGCAUCGCUGGCGUUCAAGGGAAUGCAGGCAGCCAGAGAAGGUAGUCAUUCUGUCACGGCUUCCGCGCUCUGAUGGGAAAUUCCGUCUCCAGCAGCUUCACCCGGGUCUCCCUGUCUCAGCACCUCCUCCCCCAAUUCCCAGGUCUCACAUCCCACCCCUCCUGCCCUCCAACCCUUCUGCCUUGAAAGCUGGCUGUACGGACUCACAUCCUUUGUGCUAAUGACACUUACAUAUUUCUUGCCAUAACUUUUCUCUUGCAGAAAAACUGACAUGACUUUAGGAUUUAAAAACAAGAGCAACAAUAAGCAUUGAAUGAGACAUUUGUGUUGCCCACAUACUGUCUUAACAUAACAAAGAAACCUACACCCCUCAAAGGGUUUAAGGAACUUUACAAACUAGUCUUUGGUAAAACCACAUGUGUAUAUUUAUUCUAAAUCAACCUGAACUUUUGAAAUGUGCAAUUGUUGAGAUUUUGCAAAAUCAAUAAAGGAAAAUACUUAUAGAAAAAAUUAUGCUACACCCUCUAAUCAAAUAUGGUAACCAAGUAAGCUUUAAUUCAUCAUUAGGAAACAAAUCAAUAAGUGACUUGUUUGAGUGAUCCUUUGUUUAAGACAUGACCUAUUUUGUUGAAAAAUAUAUGUAGAACCCAAGCAAUAUCUGAAUCUAGCUCUCCCUGGUGUUUUGACUUGGUUCCAAAUACAAUAAUGUUUAUAUUUUC
RNAcentral lists this long non-coding RNA (1116 nucleotides) under Homo sapiens (human). RNAcentral's name for it is "long non-coding RNA NONHSAT168316.1". Lineage: Eukaryota; Metazoa; Chordata; Mammalia; Primates; Hominidae. The record is from RNAcentral.